Molecule: long non-coding RNA, 661 nt
Filed under: Musa acuminata (dwarf banana)
Lineage: Eukaryota; Viridiplantae; Streptophyta; Magnoliopsida; Zingiberales; Musaceae
Description: long non-coding RNA (MACU_LNC009487)
Source: RNAcentral
GCCUAUAUAAGUCAAUACGAUAUAGCAUAAACGUUACACAAUAGUUUUCAAGAAUGCAAAUAACUUUAAGGACAAGAGCAUACAAAAAUUCAAAGCAGUAAUAUAAAGCUCAAUUGAAUAAGAAAACUAAAGGAUAUCAAUUUCAAAAGGAAUAAAACCAGAAUAUGAGAAAUCGACCAAAGCUCGAUUUCUGGCAGAAUACAAGAGGCACAUUGAACAAAUGAUUCAAACUAUCAAUCGUGCUCCAAUUUACUCAAAAAUAUAUCAUUGGAUUAUACUUUCAGAUAGGACAAGCUUCAUAUGAAUUGAACUGUCCAAUAGAGAGAGUUACAAAUAAUUUGGUAAACAAGGGUCGGAGAACAAAAUCUCUAUUUGGCAGGAUUCAUAAGGUCAGAUUCAACAGAUAACUGGGCAGGUGUUUGGAUUCCAAAUCUUUCAAUCCAUAUAUCAAAAGAAAGAUCUACGAGUCUAGUUUCCAAUGAAAUCAAUUUUGAACAAAUCAGAGUUUCCAACAAAGACUUAUAGGCAGCUCGAUAUCAAAAGGUCAGAAUCUCAGAAGUUGCACAGAUUCGAAUCGUUAUGUCUAAACAGGAGAUAUAUCAAAUGCAAGGCUAGAACAAUUCAAAGUUCCUCAUUUUCAAAGCAAAUGUAGAGAUAAAAU